AGUUGGUCUGAAGGGUGUAAGUUAUUGUUAAACUGAUUAACACUGUCUCCCCCCACACACCCAUACUUGACUGUGUGUUUU
Unclassified non-coding RNA from Fukomys damarensis (Damara mole-rat), 81 nucleotides. It matches the Rfam family "Y RNA". From Rfam's summary of the family: Y RNAs are components of the Ro ribonucleoprotein particle (Ro RNP), in association with Ro60 and La proteins. The record is from Ensembl. Lineage: Eukaryota; Metazoa; Chordata; Mammalia; Rodentia; Bathyergidae.